CCUACGGGCGGCAGCAGUGGGGAAUAUUUCGCAAUGGAGGCAACUCUGACCCAGCAACGCCGCGUGAGUGAUGAAGGUCUUCGGAUUGUAAAACGCUUUAAGUGGCGACGAAUAAAGUGACUGUACCCACAGAAUAAGCCUCUGCUAACUACGUGCCAGCAGCCGGGGUAAUUCGGAGGAGGCAAGCGUUAUCCGGGAAGACUGGGCGUAAAGGGUGCGUGGGUGGUUUGACAAGUGAGGUGCGUAAUUCCGGGGCUCAACUUCCGAACUACUACUAAAACUGUUGGGCUUGAGUGCGGUAGGGGUGAAUGGAAUUCCUAGUGUAGGGGUGGAAUGCGUAGAUAUUAGAAGGAACACCAGCGGCGAAAGCGGUUCACUGGACUGUAACUGACACUGAGGCACGAAAGCGUGGGGAGCAAACAGGAUUAGAUACCCUAGUAGUC
RNAcentral lists this ribosomal RNA (443 nucleotides) under uncultured bacterium. RNAcentral describes it as "partial 16S ribosomal RNA". It matches the Rfam family "Bacterial small subunit ribosomal RNA", at positions 338 to 795 of the family's 1533-position model. The record is from RNAcentral.